GUGGAACUGUCUAAGCCAUUUGUUAUUUCAUCCAUAAACAGAGCCUUUGUCGGGCCAACAAUCAUCUCGGCUACAAAGAUUCAGAAAUUCAGUGUUUCUGCACAAAUGUCUAGUCCGAGAAUCUGCAAAUUCAACAGAAGACUAAGAACCAAACAAAAAGGGCCAGAUUAUCAGCCAGGCUAUAAAAGAGACUACCUUCAAGAUGUAAUCUGUUUGCAGACUUCUUUUGAGUCCUUCAACAGAAAUUGCCUAUACGAAAAAAAAAGUCUCUAAUCAACCAGCUGAGUUUAAAGGUUAAAUUCAGAAUAAGCUUCAGGGUCAGAGAAUGUUUGAGGAAUGUACUUUCAUGGAAAAGAAAAAUUAACAAUACAUACAUUUCAUUGCACUCGAGGGGACAUUGAUUGGUUGAUAAAAUCUACCUGUUCGGCUACCAACGCCCU
This is a long non-coding RNA of Capsella rubella, 440 nucleotides long. RefSeq lists it as uncharacterized. The transcript is spliced from 3 exons. The record is from RefSeq and is a predicted model, not a curated record. NCBI's taxonomy places the organism in Eukaryota, Viridiplantae, Streptophyta, Magnoliopsida, Brassicales, Brassicaceae.